Molecule: long non-coding RNA, 373 nt
Filed under: Hordeum vulgare
Lineage: Eukaryota; Viridiplantae; Streptophyta; Magnoliopsida; Poales; Poaceae
Description: long non-coding RNA (HVUL_LNC013106)
Source: RNAcentral
UCCGGUAGAGGCCGAACUAACGCUGCUACCGGUACGAUAACGCGAGUGACGAUCAACCUUUUGCAGCAGAGCAACAAGGCAAACAAACCCCCUUGAUCAUUCUGAUAGCACCCAUUCUUUCUCCCUCAUGCUUGCAUUUAUUUUUCUAUUGUUGUAGAUAGCUCCUAUUCUGAUGCAUAACCUAUUUUGUUAAAACUGCUAUUGUACCCUACUGCAUAUUAAAUGCUUAGUAUAGAUUGAUUAGUGAUCUGCAGUGACCCCACUUAGCCCUAGUCGCCCUUGCUUCAUCAUCGAAGACUCGACGACUAGAAGACUUGAAGACUCGACCAACUGAUCGACAAGCCAUGACCCAUCACAUCACCUCACACCCCCU